This is a non-coding RNA of Pelobates cultripes (western spadefoot toad), 1348 nucleotides long. NCBI's taxonomy places the organism in Eukaryota, Metazoa, Chordata, Amphibia, Anura, Pelobatidae. The record is from the annotation of a GenBank genome assembly.
AGCAUCUGGACCUCAAGCCCUUGGGUCGUAUAUAAUUUAAUAUACAUUUUUAAGUUGCGUGUUGGAGAAAGAUGCCAUCAGGUCUAUUUCUGGAGUGAGCCGUUACUGGCAAAUCUUCCAAAAAAUAUCCAGGUUCAAUUUCCACUCUCUUUAUCUAUCUAUAUAUCCAGCUCAGAAAAUCUGCAACCUUGUUGUCUUUGCCUGGCAGGUGAAUAGUUGACAGUGCUUUUAGAUUCAAAUCUAAACAAUCAUUGGUUUUGUUUCUUGCAUCAGCCUAUGACUCUUUGACCCCCUUGAUGGUAUAUGUCUACCACAGCGGUCACAAUAUCCACCCGGACUUUAACCCAUUUGUUCCUCAAUAAAUGUUUGAUGAGGUCAACGCUUUUUGCACUGACCGAAGUUCCAAUAAGUUUGAUUUGAGAUUCCAGUUUGUGCUCGAUAAUUUUUUUAACUCUGCCUGUCCCCCCCCCACCCCCAGCCUUUCCCACUUACAUCCGAUAUUUCUAUUUCCCAAUCUGGAAAGCCUCUCCUGAUAUUGAAGUCUUUUAUCCACCACAGUAGAGUGAAAUCCUACUUCUUGUGCAAUGAAUAGGACUUAUUCCAGUUCUGUUCCUCAUGAAUGAAUUGCCUCAAGAAGUUUUUCUGGACUGGUCUGAGAUUCCAGUGGGCCCAUCUGACAAGAUCUAUCAUAGAGGAAAGGGUUCCCAGUAAGCUAAUGUAUUCUCCAGGCACCCAGACCACUUCAGCUAAUUGAAGUGGUAUUGGGUGACGUGCCCCAAUUGCACUUUGUGCUGCAAUGUAAAACAUUGCAGUUCUAAGUCUGCCCGCUGUGGCUGUCUAUGAGAGCCACUAGAGGGCUUCCGGAAUCCUAACUGAACAUUGGUCGGUUAUCUGACACUGGACGUCCUCACGGACCUCCUGCGUCACAUUUUCCCCAUAGGAAAGCAUUGAAUGCGUUCCCAUUGGGAGGUCUAAUGUGCGCGCGGCUAUAGCCACGCAUGAGGUCCUCCCCACCAGCUGAUGUUGGCGGGGGAGGAGUGUGGGUGGAGCCUGACCCAGCGCCGAGGGCCAUUGGCACUGGAUUCAGGUAAGUAGCUGAAGGGGUUUGUUUUCCUGGCACUAGAGUCCCUUUAACAUACUUCACUUAGAGAUACCAUUCCUGGCUAUUUUUUGUCUCCCCUUUCCUGAGUCCUUUUGGAGAAAGAUAGACGAAGGUCUGUGUCACAUCCGAGGACAAAUCUGCCUACAUGACUUGAGCUUGUCCUACCUGGCUCUAUACAUGUGAGUGUGUAGCUUUAUAUUUUACAUCCAUACUUACUUACAGCCUACAUUGCAGCAUAUUGUAUUU